AGAGUUUGAUCCUGGCUCAGGACGAACGCUGGCGGCGUGCCUAAUACAUGCAAGUAGAACGCUGAAGACUGGUGCUUGCACUAGUCAGAUGAGUUGCGAACGGGUGAGUAACGCGUAGGUAACCUACCUCAUAGCGGGGGAUAACUAUUGGAAACGAUAGCUAAUACCGCAUGACAAUUAAGUGCUCAUGUACUAAAUUUAAAAGGAGCAAUUGCUUCACUAUGAGAUGGACCUGCGUUGUAUUAGCUAGUUGGUGAGGUAACGGCUCACCAAGGCCACGAUACAUAGCCGACCUGAGAGGGUGAUCGGCCACACUGGGACUGAGACACGGCCCAGACUCCUACGGGAGGCAGCAGUAGGGAAUCUUCGGCAAUGGGGGCAACCCUGACCGAGCAACGCCGCGUGAGUGAAGAAGGUUUUCGGAUCGUAAAGCUCUGUUGUUAGAGAAGAACGGUAAUGGGAGUGGAAAAUCCAUUACGUGACGGUAACUAACCAGAAAGGGACGGCUAACUACGUGCCAGCAGCCGCGGUAAUACGUAGGUCUCGAGCGUUGUCCGGAUUUAUUGGGCGUAAGGCGAGCGCAGGCGGUUAUUUAAGUCUGAAGUUAAAGGCCGUGGCUCAACCAUGGUUCGCUUUGGAAACUGGAUAACUUGAGUGCAGAAGGGGAGAGUGGAAUUCCAUGUGUAGCGGUGAAAUGCGUAGAUAUAUGGAGGAACACCGGUGGCGAAAGCGGCUCUCUGGUCUGUAACUGACGCUGAGGCUCGAAAGCGUGGGGAGCAAACAGGAUUAGAUACCCUGGUAGUCCACGCCGUAAACGAUGAGUGCUAGGUGUUAGGCCCUUUCCGGGGCUUAGUGCCGCAGCU
This 863-nucleotide ribosomal RNA is filed under the name uncultured bacterium. RNAcentral describes it as "bacterial SSU rRNA". It matches the Rfam family "Bacterial small subunit ribosomal RNA", at positions 8 to 853 of the family's 1533-position model. The record is from RNAcentral.